Molecule: RNA transcript, 2504 nt
Organism: Dermacentor albipictus
Lineage: Eukaryota; Metazoa; Arthropoda; Arachnida; Ixodida; Ixodidae
Source: RefSeq, a predicted model, not a curated record
CACUAUAGUCAAGAGGAAGAAAGCAUAGAGUUUGCGGGAAACUCUAUUGAAAAAGGAAAAAGAGUCUGGCAGCUGUUUUCCCAUUUUUCGCUCAUGCGGUAAGCGUGCUGCGUCUCGCUAACAUGGCACCACCGCGGAUCAUUAGAACACCAUCCGAGGAGCGCGAAUUUAUCAAUAAACGUAAGGAAGCAAGGCGGGCCCGCAUACGCGCCCAGACGCAGGAACAGCGUGAAGCUGCGCGUGCCAAGCACGCUGAAAUUCAACGCCGUAGACGCCAAAACGCAGCAGUGCGGGAACGCGAGGCAGAGGCCAGGCGGCAGCGCCGGCAAGACCCCGAACUUCGGGAGAAGGAAGCGGCCGAACGUCGCGCCCGCCGUGAGGAUGCGGCAGUGCGGGAACGCGAAGCCGAGGCAAAGCGACAACGCCGACAAGACGCUACUCUUCGGGAGAAGGAGGCGGCCGAACGUCGUGCACGGCGUGAGGAUUUGGCAGUGCGGAAACGUGAAACCGAAACAAGGCGACAACGCCGACAAGACCCAGUGUUUCGGCUGCUUGAGGCCGCCGAACGUCGCGCCCGCCGUGAGGACGCAGCAGUGCGGGAGCGCGAAGCCGAGGCGAAGCGACAACGCCGACAAGACCCGGCUGUUCGGCAGCUGGAAGCGGCCAAGCAUCGUGCUCGACGUGAAGAUCCAGCAGUGCGGGAACGCGAGGCCGAGGCAAGGCGUCAGCGGCGGUUGAGAGAGCACACAUCACUAUUCGGAGGACAGUUCGGCAACCCAUUCGGAUAUACGUGCGACGUUUGCCAUCGCCUUGGUUUUAAAGCAGACCUUUCGCCUAUCCGCACUCCUCACGUGCCGCUGCUCAGUGCCGAGUUUCCAAACGAGGACGUGCCUUCCUUUAUGCUGUGCUCCACGUGCCAGAAGGCACUGCAAAGUGGUACAGUUCCCGCACUUUCUCGAAGUAACAUUUGCUUAGAUCCGGCAGUUCCCACUGAGUUACUUGAAGUCAACUUGGUGUGCAGAAGUGAUGAUGAAGACUCGGAGAGUCCUUUGCCCAACCUUGCCAAACAAUUCAACUCUGAACAGAAGGCUCAGGAAAGCAAGGUUGAUUGUUGCUUGCAGACAGAUGGCACUGGAAAGAUUGAUUGUUUUGUGCAGACGGAAGAUGCCAUAAAGAAAAUGUCUAAAGUGCCAACUGAGAAAUGCAUGAAGGUUGUUGUUGCAGUGCAGACUGAAGAAUGUCCAAAGCUACAGUCUUCUUUUUCUUGCAACACUGCUCCAGUCUCACGAGCCUACCAAAGACGCUAAGGAGUGUGAGAGUGAAUGUCCACUUGCUAUGGAGGUAGGGAGUGAAGAUUGGCUCUAACGACAAAGAAGGGCAAAUGCAUUGGUCCUGUGCAGAGCCACGUCACGAAUCACAAGAGGACCGACACUGACUAGUGACCUUUCAUGUGUGACAUCAUCCAAAAGGGCUUUAAUGCGAAGGAUGUCCUCGGUGCGCACCUGAGGGCUCCACACAGGAGAAAAGCCUCACGAGAGUCCAAGCUGUGGCUAGCACUUUGUUGAAGCAACCAACAUUAUGCAUCAUCAGAAGUUGCAACUAAGCGGUGGCGAAUGCUGUUGCCUGUGUAUGCCAUGUGACUAGAGUGUCACCUUCAAGGCCAACGUCACGCGGCAUUGAAUGACUCACUCGAACAAGAAGCCCCACUCCUCGGUGUGUGGCAAGAGGUUCAUGCAACGCAUUAGCGUUAAGUUGAGUGAGAGAGUGGUCCCAAUGUAUGACUGCACUGUCCUCACUACUAGAAAGGAUGCUUUAGCAUAGUGAAAUUGACUACCCACAUCCAUGGUUUCAUGGCUGCGGUGAAGACAAUAACUCUGAUUCACAUGCAGCAAGUUGUGAAGGGAUUGUGACCACAGACAUAUGACUGAACUGGGUGACAGAAAGAAAAGAUUGGCAAGUUGAGCAACAAGUAAAAGAAAAAGAUGUGAGUGGAGCGAGUGCACCUGGGCCACACAAAUGUGGAACUUCCAACACUGAGGGAGGACAGCUGGUGUGAAUAACAAUCCAAGUCAUGUGGCAGGAAGAGCAUCAGUGUGAAUAAUUUAUUACCUAUUGUUAAUAUAUUGCAGUACCAAGAAAUUACAGGGAGAAAGCAGCACUAAACCAAGGCACAGAGUGGGAAGACACAGCAGUAUAUGCUAAACUUCAGUAUAGCAAGAAAAUAAACACUUGCAUAGAUAGAUACCAAAUUCAAAUCUGAAAACCUUGAGAUAUCUCGGCCAACAACAGUAUGUGAACUACAGACAUGUGCUAGAGGUAUAUGCCCAUGCAACUGCUGCUUCAGAAAAUAGUAUGCAUUAUGAAAAUUUUGAAUGAUGAAAUUGUUUUGUCAAAAGUCAUUGUAACGUGAUUCAUGAUUAUGCAUCUGUGCUUGUUCUUUUAUCGAGUGCUCCUGGUGACAUCUUUGAAUUUUUCAUGAAUAAAAGUAUUGUUCUGUUAGUAAA